Malus domestica (apple) is the source of this 2090-nucleotide non-coding RNA. The record is from RefSeq and is a predicted model, not a curated record. NCBI's taxonomy places the organism in Eukaryota, Viridiplantae, Streptophyta, Magnoliopsida, Rosales, Rosaceae.
GUGACCUCCGAUUCACCCUCACUCUCCCUCUCUUCAAACAAACAAAACGACGCCAACGCCUACAGGAGGGAGGCAGGGAGGGAGAGAGAGAGAGAGAGAGAGAGCAGGAGAGAGAGCUUCGUAAUUGACUCUGCGAUGGAAUCAGACUCCCAGAUCUUCGAGAAACCCUAGCAUUCCCUUCAAGAUUCUCUCCCAUUCCUCCAAGAACCACUUCUUACACUCUCUCUAUCUCUCCCCUAUCGCCGCCUCCAUCUCCGUCCCUCUUUCGCUCGUCUUCUUCUUCACUUCUGCUUCCGAUCGAGCUCAUUCGUCUUCGUCGGCAGAGAACCAGAAGCUCCGGUCCUUAUUCUUCCAGUUUAGCACAAUUUCGGCGGCUCAGUGCCGGUUCGCGCUGCAUUUCCGGUUCGCUCAAUGUUCCGGCGAGACCGAGAGAGAGAAAAUUCCUAGGACCUCUGACGAUUGAUCUAAUUGCGGAUUUUGGAUUGAGGUUAUGGUGUACUAGAUGAGUACCAUUGACGAUAGAGGAGGAGGCUCAUUCGUCGCCGUUCGGAGGAUUUCUCAAGGUCUCGACCGCGGCGGCAACACCUGCCAAUCAACUUCUGCUGAAGUUGUAGCAGGAUCAACAGCAUGGCUCGGCCGGGGUCUUUCUUGUGUGUGUGCACAGAGAAGAGAGAGUGAUGCUCGUCCCUCCUUUGAUUUAACCACUGUCCAGGAGGAAUGCCUGAUUAGGCUACAGAGCCGUAUAGAUGUUUCCUACGACAGUUCAAUUCCUGAGCAUCAGGAAGCUUUGAGGGCCUUGUGGAAUGCUUCCUUUCCUGAAGAAGAACUUCGUGGUUUAAUAUCUGAUCAAUGGAAGGAAAUGGGUUGGCAAGGGAAAGAUCCAUCUACAGAUUUCAGGGGUGGUGGUUUUAUUUCAUUGGAGAAUUUGUUGUACUUUGCUAGGACUUUCCCGAAAUCUUUCCAGGAUCUUCUUCGAAAGCAAGAAGGUGAUAGGUCUGUGUGGGAAUACCCAUUUGCUGUUGCUGGUGUGAAUAUCACAUUCAUGCUCAUUCAAAUGCUCGAUCUUGAAGCCGUCAAACCACGAACAAUGGUGGGAGCUACUUUCUUGAAGUUUCUAGCAGAAAAUGAAUCCGCGUUCGAUCUUAUCUAUUGCAUCACAUUCAAGCUAAUGGAUCAUCAGUGGCUUUCUAUGCGUGCAUCCUAUAUGGAUUUUAAUACAGUGAUGAAGUCCACACGCCGGCAGUUGGAAAAAGAACUAGUGCUUGAAGACGUAACACGGCUGGAAGACUUGCCUUCAUAUAGCCUUCUUUCCCAAUAGUGUAGAAGCUUGUCGUAGAGUCUAUGUAAUCAUUGGUCACAACUAGUUACAUGGUCAUCGGCAGCACUGUUAUUUCUAACUAGGAUGAUGUUUGUACUCGUGAAAUUUUCUUGCAGCGAGGCGGCAUGUUGUCAAAGAGGAAAGGGUUUUGGUUGUAUUAGUUUGUCGAGUUAAGAGGCUGGAACAAGUCUGAUGGUGAUUGAGGUUUGAAAUACAGAAUAUAGAUUCGGGGUGAGAGCGGAGGAGCAUCCUUGUCAGUUGUCCCACGAUCGAGAGGCGGAGCACUUGAAAACCCCCGCCCCGCCCUACGCCGAGGCUGGAAAAAGAGAAUAUUUGCAAUUGCGAUGCAUCAACACAAAAUCCAUAUCCCUUGUGUAAUUUCGAUACGUUGUGACAAAAGAAACGACUACCAUAUAUUAAUACGGCAAGACUCAACUCCUUGGUCACAAACUAUUUGGAUCUGGAAGUAAGCAUUUGGGUUUGACGACCUAAAUAUGUUACCAGGUUUCGCCAAGGUGGCAGUGGUGAUGAUGACCGUGGCAAGGUUGUAGGGAUGAAGGUAAUGAAGGUGAGGUUGGUGGUACGGGUGGAGUGGUGGCUUGACAAUGGUGGUAGUGGUGGUCCUGUAAAACAAGUAAUUUUUGUUGGACCUUUAUUCUUUUUUUUCUUUUUAGAUAUAUUAGGAUUUUUAUUGGUUGGAACGUCCGAUUAUUUUGAUAGGAAUUUUAUAUCUUUAUUUCCUUCUUAGCAAGUAAUUUUUUUUUCCCCACAA